GACGAACGCUGGCGGCGUGCCUAAUACAUGCAAGUAGAACGCUGAAGGAGGAGCUUGCUUCUCCGGAUGAGUUGCGAACGGGUGAGUAACGCGUAGGUAACCUGCCUGGUAGCGGGGGAUAACUAUUGGAAACGAUAGCUAAUACCGCAUAAGAGUAGAUGUUGCAUGACAUUUGCUUAAAAGGUGCAAUUGCAUCACUACCAGAUGGACCUGCGUUGUAUUAGCUAGUUGGUGGGGUAACGGCUCACCAAGGCGACGAUACAUAGCCGACCUGAGAGGGUGAUCGGCCACACUGGGACUGAGACACGGCCCAGACUCCUACGGGAGGCAGCAGUAGGGAAUCUUCGGCAAUGGACGGAAGUCUGACCGAGCAACGCCGCGUGAGUGAAGAAGGUUUUCGGAUCGUAAAGCUCUGUUGUAAGAGAAGAACGAGUGUGAGAGUGGAAAGUUCACACU
Molecule: ribosomal RNA, 456 nt
Filed under: Streptococcus mitis
Lineage: Bacteria; Bacillati; Bacillota; Bacilli; Lactobacillales; Streptococcaceae
Description: bacterial SSU rRNA
Rfam family: Bacterial small subunit ribosomal RNA
Source: RNAcentral